UAUGCGUGGCCGCUGCGAGUCGCUUUUGUUAUAAUUUAAGUUUCAGUUUUAAGCGAGACCUCUGCUAAUAAAGAGCUAGCUACUCCGGCAACAGCCGUUAAAUAUCUUUUAUCAUUUUGAAAACUGACUGUGUAUCUAGGCCAGCAGUUAAGAAGGGUUCCCCUAACAACAUAACCUUCCUAUUCCAACAGGAAAUACAGCCAGGCGGCUAGACGCUCUUAGCGAUCUCCAACUAGAGCGAGGAACGACCGCCCGCUACCUGUGGACUACGCUCAUCGGCCAACCGGCCAAAGUAGAGUGACUGCAGCGGGGGACCGUCUCCUAACACACAUAAUAAACUAAUUGACGCUCAACCAGUGGUUCGACCACCAUCACCACCUAACAGUCAUCAGUAGCUAAAUCAAUUCGAAUACGGUGAAAAACAUAAAAAUGCAUUUACCGAUGAAAGGAAGGCUUGCACCAGCGGCCAUACCGGGCAACAAGCUGAAACACUCGUUAGACAUGCUUUUGGACCGUGCAUAAAGCUGUAUUAAAGCAGAAGGAGACUACUUUGAAUAAAAUUAAUUGCUUUUGCCGAUAAAACCA
Drosophila erecta is the source of this 585-nucleotide long non-coding RNA. RefSeq lists it as uncharacterized. The transcript is spliced from 2 exons. NCBI's taxonomy places the organism in Eukaryota, Metazoa, Arthropoda, Insecta, Diptera, Drosophilidae. The record is from RefSeq and is a predicted model, not a curated record.